GCGCUCUUAGCUCAGUUGGAUAGAGCAACUGCCUUCUAAGCCGUAGGUCAGGCGUUCGAGUCGCCUAGAGCGCGCCA
RNAcentral lists this transfer RNA (77 nucleotides) under Bacillota bacterium. Its description in RNAcentral is "tRNA-Arg". It matches the Rfam family "tRNA". Rfam says of the family: Transfer RNA (tRNA) molecules are approximately 80 nucleotides in length. Their secondary structure includes four short double-helical elements and three loops (D, anti-codon, and T loops). The record is from RNAcentral. Lineage: Bacteria; Bacillati; Bacillota.